CAACGCCGCGUGAGGGAAUGAAGGCCGUUCGGGUCGUAAAACCUCUUUUUCGUUCAAGGGAAGUAGUAAUGACGGUACCUGAGGGAAGAAGCCACGGCUAACUACGUGC
RNAcentral lists this ribosomal RNA (109 nucleotides) under uncultured bacterium. RNAcentral describes it as "partial 16S ribosomal RNA". The record is from RNAcentral.